Molecule: ribosomal RNA, 465 nt
Filed under: uncultured bacterium
Lineage: Bacteria
Description: partial 16S ribosomal RNA
Rfam family: Bacterial small subunit ribosomal RNA
Source: RNAcentral
GACGAACGCUGGCGGCGUGCUUAACACAUGCAAGUCGAACGCUGAACCCGCUUCGGUGGGGGAUGAGUGGUGCACGGGUGCGUAACACGUGGGCAACCUGCCCCCGGCUCUGGGAUAACUCCAAGAAAUUGGGGCUAAUACCGGAUGUGACCGCUGGCCGCAUGGUCUGGUGGUGGAAAGGGUUUCCGGCUGGGGAUGGGCCCGCGGCCUAUCAGCUUGUUGGUGGGGUAGUGGCCUACCAAGGCGACGACGGGUAGCCGGCCUGAGAGGGUGACCGGCCACACUGGGACUGAGACACGGCCCAGACUCCUACGGGAGGCAGCAGUGGGGAAUAUUGCGCAAUGGGCGGAAGCCUGACGCAGCGACGCCGCGUGGGGGAUGACGGCCUUCGGGUUGUAAACCUCUUUCAGCAGGGACGAAGCGCAAGUGACGGUACCUGCAGAAGAAGCACCGGCCAACUACGUG